AUACGGAGGAUGCAAGCGUUAUCCGGAUUUAUUGGGUUUAAAGGGUGCGCAGGUGGUUGAAUAAGUCAGUGGUGAAAGUCUGCCGCUUAACGGUAGGAUUGCCAUUGAUACUGUUUAACUUGAGUUUGGAUGAGGUAGGCGGAAUGUGUAGUGUAGCGGUGAAAUGCAUAGAUAUUACACAGGACACCGAUUGCGAAGGCAGCUUACUAAUCCACUACUGACACUGAGGCACGAAAGCGUGGGGAUCAAACAGGAUUAGAUACCCUGGUAGUCCACGCCGUAAACGAUGAUCACUCGCUGUUUGCGAUAUACAGUAAGCGGCCAAGCGAAAGCGAUAAGUGAUCCACCUGGGGAGUACGAUCGCAAGGUUGAA
Molecule: ribosomal RNA, 373 nt
Filed under: uncultured bacterium
Lineage: Bacteria
Description: bacterial SSU rRNA
Rfam family: Bacterial small subunit ribosomal RNA
Source: RNAcentral